AAUUUUAGUUAUAUUAGUUAAAUAGCUAAUAACCCAAAAAAGUCAACAUUUUGGUUGGAAAAAAGCAAAUCAAAUAAUUUAUUUUUCAUAAAGAAAUAUAAAAAAUAUAGGUAAAAAAAAAAUAAAGAAUACAUUCUAGUUACUUGAGAUGAUAAUAUCAAUACUUUUCUUAAACCAAAUACAAAAACAAAACCAAUAAUGUUAUCAUAUAUAAUUUUAAAUAAAAAGAUAACUAGAAAUAAAAGAAAAA
Molecule: long non-coding RNA, 250 nt
Filed under: Gossypium raimondii (Peruvian cotton)
Lineage: Eukaryota; Viridiplantae; Streptophyta; Magnoliopsida; Malvales; Malvaceae
Description: long non-coding RNA (GRAI_LNC001375)
Source: RNAcentral